This 74-nucleotide transfer RNA is filed under the name Microcaldota archaeon. RNAcentral's name for it is "tRNA-Ile". It matches the Rfam family "tRNA". Rfam says of the family: Transfer RNA (tRNA) molecules are approximately 80 nucleotides in length. Their secondary structure includes four short double-helical elements and three loops (D, anti-codon, and T loops). Lineage: Archaea; Nanobdellati; Microcaldota. The record is from RNAcentral.
GGGCCCGUAGCUUAGUCUGGUGGAGCGUUCGACUGAUAAUCGAAAGGUCCCCGGUCCAAAUCCGGGCGGGCCCA